UCUAGUUUUUUGGUUGUUUGUUUAUAUUCUCUAGGAAUCCUCGGAUCUUGUUUUUAAGCCCUUCGGUGACGAUGUUUUUGUAUUUUUGCAAGCUUUCUUUGCAUUGAAAAGGAGAGGCAUAUAUAUGUGCUAGCUAUGAUGAAGGUUUUUACAAUUCAUUUCUGAAUUUUGAGCAUUUAAUAGGAUAUUUUUAACAAUUUCAUAAAACUUCUGUCGCAAAAGUGGCAGUUUUUUUUUUAAGUAUGGUUACAAAAUCUAUUUGAUUUUUUUCUUGUGUGAAAUUACAGAAAUGUAGCCCAUUUAUGUAGAAUUAAUAAUGCCCAGGAAGCAUUGUGAGGGAAACUAUUCAAAUGGAUGGUGGCUCUCAAUGCUACAUUCUCUAGCUAAGGCCUAAGGCCUGAGGCCCCCCCAUGAGCAAUUACAACAGGAUUGGUCAUCAAAAAUGGGAAUUUCAAUGUAGGGUUGAACCUGACAAAAGCUAAGAUGGACAGGAUCCUUCCUGCAGAACAGAUCAAAUCAUGUCUCUAGACAAAGUUGGCAUGUGGGUUGUUUCUUAUUGGAGAAAGUGGAACUUACAAAAGCUUAACUAGUCUUGACGAUGAACUUCUUGGCUCAGAGAAUUUCUUACUGACAACGUAUAUGUCAAGGAUCUUCCCAUGCUCAAAUCAAGGUGAGGACCCCCACAAGCACUUGAAGGAAUUCCAUGUGGUUUGCUCAACCAUGAAGCCGCAAGGAGUAAUAGAGAAAGAAAUUAAACUAAGGGCUUUCUUAUUCUCUUUGGCAGACAAGGCGAAUGAUUGACUUUAUUACCUUCAAUCUGGAUCUAUUACCACAUGGAAUGAUCUAAAAAGGAAAUUUUUGGAAAAGUUCUUUCUAACUUCAAGGGCAGGUACCCUCAGAAAAGAAAUCAUUGGAAUUCGCCAAAAUAAUGGUAAGACAUUGUACGAAUAUUGGGGAUUGUUAAUCAAUUAUAAGUGAGCUGCCCUCA
This is a long non-coding RNA of Populus nigra (black poplar), 988 nucleotides long. RefSeq lists it as uncharacterized. Lineage: Eukaryota; Viridiplantae; Streptophyta; Magnoliopsida; Malpighiales; Salicaceae. The record is from RefSeq and is a predicted model, not a curated record. The transcript is spliced from 2 exons.